This 1531-nucleotide long non-coding RNA is filed under the name Malus domestica (apple). Its description in RNAcentral is "long non-coding RNA (MDOM_LNC002611)". Lineage: Eukaryota; Viridiplantae; Streptophyta; Magnoliopsida; Rosales; Rosaceae. The record is from RNAcentral.
AAGCUUGUUUGGUCUUUGGGCCAUGAUCAAGUGAAGUAUGUGUUGAGUUUACUUAACAUAUUUAAGUAUUUUUUUAAUAAAAUAUUGCGAUAUUAUCGAUAAUUUUGAAAAUAUCGCGAUAUUUUUGAUAUUAUCGAUAAUAUCGCGAUAUUUAACGAAAAUAUGUUGGAUAGUUAAAAAAAUUUCGGAAUUCCAAAAAAACGAUAAUAUCGGCGAUAUUUCGCCGAUAUUAUCGAUUUUUUCUUCCUUGGUUUUAGUUUAAUGUUGUAUAUUGUCCUUAGACUUUUCUCACUUUGUAUCAAUGUGUUUUAAUGAAGGUAUGCUUUGGGUUAAAGUGGUUGGUAAAGUUCAAUUUGCACGAUUUGGUAAGAUUAUGGGAGCGCUUAUAGCACGAGUGGCUUGCCCACCCUUGUUUUCCCUUUAUCCCUUAGGUUCAUUGGUUCUUCUCUCGACGAAGGCGGCUUGGUGGUCGUGAUGCAACUAUUUUGGUGGAGGAGGCUAGUUCCCAUUUUUAGAUUUAGGGUUUUCGGUUGAAGGAUUGCUAUGGGGCUCACUUUUGGGGUUUGUUUCCCUUUUUUCCUUUUGUAUUUGGGAUGCAGUUUUAGUUGUAUAUUGUCCCUAGACUUUUCUCACUUUGUAUCAACGUGUUUUAAUGAAAUUGGUUGUUUUUGGAAGAAAAAAAAUGAAAUUAGUUGUUAGACCCGAGAGAGAGAGAGAGAGAGAGAGAGAGAGAGAGAGAGAGAGAGAGAGAGAGAGAGAGCACUGCGAAUGUGAACGAAAUUUGAAGGUUCCUUAAGUAAACAAGUUCAAACCUAAGAAAAGCCCCCUAAAAUACCAAAGCUUGUAAAAGAGUCCAAAUGUUGGCGUAUUUUAUGUAGGAAACAGGGUUUCGAAAGGAAAUAAAGCUGGACAAAAGAUGACGAAAAGUUUACAUAUUCCGACCAAAAAUUGAGAAUGAAAAUACUCAUCAUUCAUCAGAUUCGAACUUAAAACAUAUUACUUAAAAAUGAAAAAAAAAAUACUACUAAAUUGUAAUACUAGGUGGCAUCAUAUUCCCGAAAUUUGAAUAUGAAGAAAUGAAAGAAAACAAAUGAAGUGUUCAAACGGCUUUUUAGGGUAUCGUUAUAUUUCAAAUACAUGUCAAAUGUAUUUCAUCUAGUUAUUCAAUCGAAAUAGAUUCACCCUCAUGUUUUCUAGUUUAUGUUGCAAAUUGUCAAACCCAAAUCCAUAUUUCAAAUCCCUCCACCCAACUAGAGAGUUUUAGAGCAUGUUUGGUACUCUACUUAAAUCAAACUUUUUAAACUCAAAAAUAAUUUUCAAGUUUUAAGUCUUAAAAACUUGUUUGGUAUGACUAUUUUCAAAAACUGAACUCAAGACUAAUUCAAAAUUAUAGUCUAUUAUCUAAAAACACAAAAAGUGAGUUUUUAAAGUUUUUAAACUUAAACUUACUUAUUUCUUUUCUCUCCCUCCUCCCCUCUCACUUCAAAUCUCUCUCUCUCUCUCUCUCUCUCUCUUUUCUUCUUUCUCUCUC